GAUGAACGCUGGCGGCGUGCCUAAUACAUGCAAGUCGAGCGAACAGACGAGGAGCUUGCUCCUCUGACGUUAGCGGCGGACGGGUGAGUAACACGUGGAUAACCUACCUAUAAGACUGGGAUAACUUCGGGAAACCGGAGCUAAUACCGGAUAAUAUAUUGAACCGCAUGGUUCAAUAGUGAAAGACGGUUUUGCUGUCACUGAUAGAUGGAUCCGCGCCGAAUUAGCUAGUUGGUAAGGUAACGGCUUACCAAGGCAACGAUGCGUAGCCGACCUGAGAGGGUGAUCGGCCACACUGGAACUGAGACACGGUCCAGACUCCUACGGGAGGCAGCAGUAGGGAAUCUUCCGCAAUGGGCGAAAGCCUGACGGAGCAACGCCGCGUGAGUGAUGAAGGUCUUCGGAUCGUAAAGCUCUGUUAUUAGGGAAGAACAAAUGUGUAAGUAACUAUGCACGUCUUGACGGUACCUAAUCAGAAAGCCACGGCUAACUACGUG
Molecule: ribosomal RNA, 497 nt
Filed under: uncultured bacterium
Lineage: Bacteria
Description: partial 16S ribosomal RNA
Rfam family: Bacterial small subunit ribosomal RNA
Source: RNAcentral